RNAcentral lists this ribosomal RNA (530 nucleotides) under Fusarium equiseti. Its description in RNAcentral is "eukaryotic LSU rRNA". The stretch from base 173 to 326 matches the Rfam family "5.8S ribosomal RNA". The record is from RNAcentral. Lineage: Eukaryota; Fungi; Ascomycota; Sordariomycetes; Hypocreales; Nectriaceae.
UGAACCUGCGGAGGGAUCAUUACCGAGUUUACAACUCCCAAACCCCUGUGAACAUACCUAUACGUUGCCUCGGCGGAUCAGCCCGCGCCCCGUUAAAACGGGACGGCCCGCCCGAGGACCCUAAACUCUGUUUUUAGUGGAACUUCUGAGAUAAAACAAACAAAUAAAUCAAAACUUUCAACAACGGAUCUCUUGGUUCUGGCAUCGAUGAAGAACGCAGCAAAAUGCGAUAAGUAAUGUGAAUUGCAGAAUUCAGUGAAUCAUCGAAUCUUUGAACGCACAUUGCGCCCGCCAGUAUUCUGGCGGGCAUGCCUGUUCGAGCGUCAUUUCAACCCUCAAGCUCAGCUUGGUGUUGGGACUCGCGGUAACCCGCGUUCCCCAAAUCGAUUGGCGGUCACGUCGAGCUUCCAUAGCGUAGUAAUCAUACACCUCGUUACUGGUAAUCGUCGCGGCCACGCCGUAAAACCCCAACUUCUGAAUGUUGACCUCGGAUCAGGUAGGAAUACCCGCUGAACUUAAGCAUAUCAAUA